RNAcentral lists this ribosomal RNA (484 nucleotides) under uncultured bacterium. RNAcentral's name for it is "partial 16S ribosomal RNA". It matches the Rfam family "Bacterial small subunit ribosomal RNA", at positions 28 to 523 of the family's 1533-position model. The record is from RNAcentral.
GACGAACGCUGGCGGCGUGCUUAACACAUGCAAGUCGAACGGGAUUCAACCAGUGGCAACACUGGGGAAGAUCUAGUGGCGAACGGGUGCGUAACACGUGAGGAACCUACCCCGGUCUCUGGAAUAACAGGUGGAAACACCUGCUAAUACCGGAUGCCGUCGGACCAUCGCAUGGUGGACCGACGAAAGAAUUUCGGAUCGGGACGGCCUCGCGGCCUAUCAGCUUGUUGGUGGGGUAAUGGCCUACCAAGGCAACGACGGGUAGCUGGUCUGAGAGGAUGAUCAGCCACACUGGGACUGAGACACGGCCCAGACUCCUACGGGAGGCAGCAGUGGGGAAUCUUGCGCAAUGGGCGAGAGCCUGACGCAGCAACGCCGCGUGCGGGAUGAAGGCCUUCGGGUUGUAAACCGCUUUCAGCAGGAACGAAACUGACGGUACCUGCAGAAGAAGGUGCGGCCAACUACGUGCCAGCCGCCGCCGUAA